UUGGCCAAACUUUAUUUUAAAUUUUUAAUAAAAGAUAAUUUUUAUGAUAUCAUUAUGAAUGAUACUAAAAUCAUGCGAGGAUAAUUAAAAUAUAGCAUAUACUUACUAUCAUAGCCUAUUGGUGUAAUGUACACAUCAAAUAAAUAUCCUAAGAUAGAUAAUGUCAGCAAUUCCUAUAUUUGGCAUUGUAGGCUGGGCCAUAUGAAUAAGAACAAGAUAGACAGGCUAAUCAAGGAGGGUAUCCUUGAAAUUAAUGAUUAUGAAUUAUUACCAGUCUGUGAAUCAUGUCUUC
RNAcentral lists this long non-coding RNA (292 nucleotides) under Elaeis guineensis (African oil palm). Its description in RNAcentral is "long non-coding RNA (EGUI_LNC059012)". Lineage: Eukaryota; Viridiplantae; Streptophyta; Magnoliopsida; Arecales; Arecaceae. The record is from RNAcentral.